Molecule: ribosomal RNA, 468 nt
Filed under: uncultured bacterium
Lineage: Bacteria
Description: partial 16S ribosomal RNA
Rfam family: Bacterial small subunit ribosomal RNA
Source: RNAcentral
GACGAACGCUGGCGGCGUGCUUAACACAUGCAAGUCGAACGGAAAGGCCCUGCUUUUGUGGGGUGCUCGAGUGGCGAACGGGUGAGUAACACGUGGGUAACCUGCCCUUGACUUUGGGAUAACUUCAGGAAACUGGGGCUAAUACCGGAUAGGAGCUCCUGCUGCAUGGUGGGGGUUGGAAAGUUUCGGCGGUUGGGUAUGGACUCGCGGCUUAUCAGCUUGUUGGUGGGGUAGUGGCUUACGAAGGCUUUGACGGGUAGCCGGCCUGAGAGGGUGACCGGGCACAUUGGUACUGCGAUACGGCCCAGACUCAUACGGGAGGCAGUAGUGGGAAAUAUUGCACAAUGGGCGGAAGCCUGAUGCAGCAACGCCGCGUGCGGGAUGACGGCUUUCGGGUUGUAAACCGAUUUGGACUGUGACGAAGAGUGAGUGACGGUAAUGGGUAAAGAAGCACCGGCUAACUACGUG